GAGUUUGAUCCUGGCUCAGAGUGAACGCUGGCGGCAGGCCUAAUACAUGCAAGUCGGACGGCAGCACAGCAGAGCUUGCUCUGUGGGUGGCGAGUGGCGGACGGGUGAGGAAUACAUGGGAAUCUGCCCAGUCGUGGGGGAUAACGUAUGGAAACGUACGCUAAUACCGCAUGCGCCCUUAGGGGGAAAGCCGGGGACCGAAAGGCCUGGCGCGAUUGGAUGAGCCCAUGUUCGAUUAGCUAGUUGGCGGGGUAAAGGCCCACCAAGGCGACGAUCGAUAGCUGGUCUGAGAGGAUGAUCAGCCACACUGGGACUGAGACACGGCCCAGACUCCUACGGGAGGCAGCAGUAGGGAAUAUUGGACAAUGGGCGCAAGCCUGAUCCAGCCAUGCCGCGUGAGUGAAGAAGGCCCUCGGGUUGUAAAGCUCUUUUGUCCGGAAAGAAAAGCAUUCGGUUAAUACCCGGGUGUUCUGACGGUACCGGAAGAAUAAGCACCGGCUAACUUCGUGCCAGCAGCCGCGGUAAUACGAAGGGUGCAAGCGUUACUCGGAAUUACUGGGCGUAAAGCGUGCGUAGGUGGUUUGUUAAGUCUGAUGUGAAAGCCCUGGGCUCAACCUGGGAAUGGCAUUGGAUACUGGCAGGCUAGAGUGUGGCAGAGGGUAGUGGAAUUCCUGGUGUAGCAGUGAAAUGCGUAGAGAUCAGGAGGAACAUCCGUGACGAAGGCGACUGCCUGGGCCAACACUGACACUGAGGCACGAAAGCGUGGGGAGCAAACAGGAUCAGAUACCCUGAUAGUCCACGCCCUAAACGAUGCGAACUGGAUGUUGGGUGCAAUUUGGCACGCAGUAUCGAAGCUAACGCGUUAAGUUCGCCGCCUGGGGAGUACGGUCGCAAGACUGAAACUCAAAGGAAUUGACGGGGGCCCGCACAAGCGGUGGAGUAUGUGGUUUAAUUCGAUGCAACCCGAAGAACC
This 973-nucleotide ribosomal RNA is filed under the name uncultured bacterium. RNAcentral's name for it is "bacterial SSU rRNA". It matches the Rfam family "Bacterial small subunit ribosomal RNA", at positions 9 to 970 of the family's 1533-position model. The record is from RNAcentral.